GACGGGCCCGCACAAGCAGCGGAGCGUGUGGUUUAAUCGAUGAUACGCGAGGAACCUUACCUGGGCUUAAAUGUAGAGUGUCAUUUUUAGAGAUAGAAAUUCCCUUCGGGGCUUUCUGCAAGGUGCUGCAUGGUUGUCGUCAGCUCGUGCCGUGAGGUGUCGGGUUAAGUCCCAUAACGAGCGCAACCCUUAUCGUUAGUUGCCAGCUGGUAAAGCAGGGGACUCUAGCGAAACUGCCACCGUAAGGUGAGAGGAAGGUGGGGAUGACGUCAAAUCAGCACGGCCCUUAUGUCCAGGGCUACACACGUGUUACAAUGGCCGGCACAGAGGGCAGCUACCUGGUGACAGGAUGCUAAUCUCGAAAACCGGUCUCAGUUCGGAUCGAAGUCUGCAACUCGACUUCGUGAAGCUGGAUUCGCUAGUAAUCGCGCAUCAGCCAUGGCGCGGUGAAUACGUUCCCGGGCCUU
RNAcentral lists this ribosomal RNA (467 nucleotides) under uncultured Sphingobacteriales bacterium. RNAcentral describes it as "bacterial SSU rRNA". It matches the Rfam family "Bacterial small subunit ribosomal RNA", at positions 917 to 1381 of the family's 1533-position model. Lineage: Bacteria; Pseudomonadati; Bacteroidota; Sphingobacteriia; Sphingobacteriales. The record is from RNAcentral.